UGUUGUUUUUCUCUUCAUCUUUAUCCUCCUCUUUUUUCUCUUUCUAACCCUGCUUGCUGCCUUCCUCUCAGACCAACUGUUUAGCAAUGAAGGAAUGGCUUUAAAUAGAAAAUGCAAGUUUUAUUCCACAGCUUUAUGAGGACACCUCAGCAUAGGAGAAAGUUCAUCUUGCUUCAAGUUGAUCACACUUAAUUGACAGGGUCUUGCUCCGUGACCCCAGCAGGAGUGCAGUGGUGUGAUCUCAGCUCACUGCAGCCUCCUUCUACCGGGUUCAAGUGAUUCUCAUGCCUCAGCCACCCAAGUAGCUGGGAUUCCAGGCACAUGCCACCAUGCCUGGCUAAUUGUGUGUGUGUGUGUUUAUUAGAGACGGGGUUUCACCAUGUUGGCCAGGCUGGUCCUAGCGUCAUGUGAUCUGCCUGCCUCGGCCUCCAGAAGUGCUGGGAUUACAGGCAUGAACCAGCACACCUGACCUUAUACUUAAUGUUUUGAAUAGUUUAUGUUUAAUCUUUAUCAGAUGCCAUUUUGAUAUUCAAAGGUCAAUUUUACUAGUUAUGUUAAUAAGCACAUAGUAAAUGUAUUUUAUUUGUGAAGAUUAACACUUAACCUGCAAGGUUCAGUUUCACUUUUUGUUAUUCAGCGACUGCCAGUUGUGAUGUUAAGUUCAUCAUUGGCUUCACUGUUCCAGGUAGAAGUUACAGUUUGCCAGAGAGCAGUAGUACUACUUUUCUAUUUUUUCUCUUUUUUAACUCUGAAAAAUAAAAUACAUUUUUAAAAGUAUACACAUGCACAUAUAGAUGUACCAUGUAAAGAAUACUUAUAAAAUGAUCAUCUCAAGAAAUUGGAAUAUUGUUGGCAUCCCAGAAUUCAUAUGUAUAUUUCUUUGCUAUCAUUUUUCUCUUCUGUUCCUCCAGAGAUUACUAUUCUGACUUUUCUUCUUCUUUGCUUUUCUUUAUGCCCUGCACAUAUAUCAAAAACUAUAAUUUAGUUUUGUAUAUUUUGUACUUCAAUAAAUGGAAUUAUUAUAUUU
Long non-coding RNA from Pongo pygmaeus (Bornean orangutan), 1027 nucleotides. RefSeq lists it as uncharacterized. The record is from RefSeq and is a predicted model, not a curated record. The transcript is spliced from 2 exons. NCBI's taxonomy places the organism in Eukaryota, Metazoa, Chordata, Mammalia, Primates, Hominidae.